RNAcentral lists this ribosomal RNA (706 nucleotides) under Asterionellopsis maritima. RNAcentral describes it as "eukaryotic LSU rRNA". The stretch from base 283 to 437 matches the Rfam family "5.8S ribosomal RNA". Lineage: Eukaryota; Bacillariophyta; Plagiogrammaphyceae; Rhaphoneidales; Asterionellopsidaceae. The record is from RNAcentral.
UUACCACACCGAUCCACGAUCUCCCCUAUUGCGAAGCUAGGCACGGGUUAUUGGAGUGUUUUGACGCGGUACCACGUGCCGCUAGUUCCUUUGGCCUUGCCGAGUUAUCUAACCAAACCUUGGGUUUUGAGUCUGAUUGUUUUUGAAAGAAGAUUUUCGGACUUGAUGCCCUCCCCAUACGAAACCGAUUGUAAUGAACGUGAAUGAAAGAUGGACGUGGCCGUGUGCAUGAUGUUAAUCAUGUGAUUUUGGCCCGUCUAUCACUAAAGUAAUGUAACUUACAACUUUCAGCAACGGAUGUCUAGGUUCCCACAACGAUGAAGAACGCAGCGAAAUGCGAUACGUAAUGCGAAUUGCAAUUUCUCGUGAAUCAUCAAAAUUUUGAACGCACAUUGCGCUUCCGGGAUAUGCCCGGUAGCAUGCUUAUCUGAGUGUCCGCGAACCCCACUCAGCCUUAUUACUGUGUGAUGAGAGCUGGACUGUGGCACUGCACCGGUUUGAGUACUGGUGCUGUGUUGGAAUGCGUGACGUUUUCUGCGUGGCGAGGCUAUUGGUUGUGUCUCGUGCUGUAUUGUGCAGUCGUCUCUGGUAGAGGCACUUUACGUGCAUUCGAAAGGAGAGUUAUCUGUGUAAUACGUGCACUUUGAGUCAUGUACUGUAGUCGCACGAAUGGAAAUGGAAACUCUGUUUUCUGUUCUGUGUGCGU